This 407-nucleotide ribosomal RNA is filed under the name uncultured bacterium. Its description in RNAcentral is "partial 16S ribosomal RNA". It matches the Rfam family "Bacterial small subunit ribosomal RNA", at positions 30 to 526 of the family's 1533-position model. The record is from RNAcentral.
AUUGAACGCUGGCGGCAGGCCUAACACAUGCAAGUCGAGCGGAGCGGCGGACGGGUGCGUAAUGUAUCGGAACGUGCCCAGUAGCGGGGGAUAACUACGCGAAAGCGUAGCUACUACCGCAUACUCUUGUAGCGGCCUAUAUCGUAUUAGCUCGUUGGUGGGGUAACGGCUCACCAAGGCGACGAUCCGUAGCUGGUUUGAGAGGAACACCAUCAAAACUGGGACUGAGACACGGCGCAGACUCCGACGGGAGGCAGCAGUGGGGAAUAUUGGACAAUGGGGGCAACCCGGAUGCAGCCACCGCGCGUGUGCGAUGAAGGACUUCGGGUUGUAAAGCACUUUUGGCAGGAAAGCGGUAACUGCAGAAUAAGCACCGGCUAACUACGUGCCAGCAGCCGCGGUAAUAC